CCACACCCUAUGUUAAAUUACUAGUGCACUGCAUCAUAGCGUAUUUCGUAAAUAUUAUACUUGGCAUGAGAUGUAUUUAAUACAUGCAGCCGUUGCUCAAUGACAGCAACAAGGAUGGUCAAGAAAUAGAAACAAUAGUUUUCGAGGUUAGGUACUCUGACUUGCAGUGGUAAAUGGUGUAGCAUAUCUCACGGAACCUGUACAGGCAAUUCCCUUACCCAAAGCAGCCUCAAGCAGCUGACCAG
This 245-nucleotide long non-coding RNA is filed under the name Elaeis guineensis (African oil palm). RNAcentral's name for it is "long non-coding RNA (EGUI_LNC071489)". The record is from RNAcentral. Lineage: Eukaryota; Viridiplantae; Streptophyta; Magnoliopsida; Arecales; Arecaceae.